UACGGAGGGUGCAAGCGUUAUCCGGAUUUACUGGGUUUAAAGGGUGUGUAGGCGGGUCUUUAAGUCAGUGGUGAAAUCUCCGAGCUCAACUUGGAAACUGCCAUUGAUACUAUUGAUCUUGAAUUCUGUUGAGGUGGGCGGAAUAAGUCAUGUAGCGGUGAAAUGCAUAGAUAUGACUUAGAACACCAAUUGCGAAGGCAGCUCACUAAACAGAUAUUGACGCUGAGGCACGAAAGCGUGGGGAUCAAACAGG
This 253-nucleotide ribosomal RNA is filed under the name uncultured bacterium. RNAcentral describes it as "partial 16S ribosomal RNA". It matches the Rfam family "Bacterial small subunit ribosomal RNA", at positions 524 to 776 of the family's 1533-position model. The record is from RNAcentral.